This 508-nucleotide ribosomal RNA is filed under the name uncultured bacterium. RNAcentral's name for it is "partial 16S ribosomal RNA". It matches the Rfam family "Bacterial small subunit ribosomal RNA", at positions 28 to 523 of the family's 1533-position model. The record is from RNAcentral.
GAUGAACGCUAGCUACAGGCUUAACACAUGCAAGUCGAGGGGAAACGAUAGAGAAAGCUUGCUUUUUCUAGGCGUCGACCGGCGCACGGGUGAGUAACGCGUAUCCAACCUGCCCAUCACUUGGAGAUAACCUUGCGAAAGUAAGACUAAUACCCAAUGACGUCUCUAGAAGACAUCUGAAAGAGAUUAAAGAUUUAUCGGUGAUGGAUGGGGAUGCGUCUGAUUAGCUCGUUGGCGGGGUAACGGCCCACCAAGGCGACGAUCAGUAGGGGUUCUGAGAGGAAGGUCCCCCACAUUGGAACUGAGACACGGUCCAAACUCCUACGGGAGGCAGCAGUAAGGAAUAUUGGUCAAUGGGCGAGAGCCUGAACCAGCCAAGUAGCGUGCAGGAUGACGGCCCUAUGGGUUGUAAACUGCUUUUAUAAGGGAAUAAAGUGAGUCUCGUGAGACUUUUUGCAUGUACCUUAUGAAUAAGGACCGGCUAAUUCCGUGCCAGCAGCCGCGGUAA